UACAGAGGGUGCAAGCGUUAAUCGGAUUUACUAGGCGUAAAGCGCGCGUAGGUGGCCAAUUAAGUCAAAUGUGAAAUCCCCGAGCUUAACUUGGGAAUUGCAUUCGAUACUGGUUGGCUAGAGUAUGGGAGAGGAUGGUAGAAUUCCAGGUGUAGCGGUGAAAUGCGUAGAGAUCUGGAGGAAUACCGAUGGCGAAGGCAGCCAUCUGGCCUAAUACUGACACUGAGGUGCGAAAGCAUGGGGAGCAAACAGG
RNAcentral lists this ribosomal RNA (253 nucleotides) under uncultured bacterium. RNAcentral describes it as "partial 16S ribosomal RNA". It matches the Rfam family "Bacterial small subunit ribosomal RNA", at positions 524 to 776 of the family's 1533-position model. The record is from RNAcentral.